CCUACGGGGGGCAGCAGUGAGGAAUAUUGGUCAAUGGACGCAAGUCUGAACCAGCCAUGCCGCGUGCAGGAAGACGGCUCUAUGAGUUGUAAACUGCUUUUGUAGGAGGGUAAACGCAGAUACGCGUAUCUGUCUGAAAGUAACGUACGAAUAAGGAUCGGCUAACUCCGUGCCAGCAGCCGCGGUAAUACGGAGGAUUCAAGCGUUAUCCGGAUUUAUUGGGUUUAAAGGGUGCGUAGGCGGUCGGAUAAGUUAGCGGUGAAAUCCCGAGGCUCAACUUCGGAAUUGCCUAUGAUACUGGUCGGCUAGAGUGUAUUUGCGGUAGGCGGAAUGUUUGGUGUAGCGGUGAAAUGCUUAG
RNAcentral lists this ribosomal RNA (358 nucleotides) under uncultured bacterium. Its description in RNAcentral is "partial 16S ribosomal RNA". It matches the Rfam family "Bacterial small subunit ribosomal RNA", at positions 338 to 693 of the family's 1533-position model. The record is from RNAcentral.